GUGCCAGCAGCUGCGGUUAGACCAUGCUAGGUGUUGGAAGUUAAUCGGUUUGUAGUUAUACGGCGGGAUUAAUAGUAUGUUUGUUAGGUUUAUUUAGGGGUGAAAUAUGUAAUUUAAUUUUAGCAAGUAUUGAAAAUUAUUUGUUGUAAAAGCUAUUAAUUUUUAGAUAUAAACUAGGAUUAGAUACCCUAUUAUACUAGUACGAAAUUUAUAAAAGCUUGAGUAGUAAUUAGUUAUGGUCUUGAAACUUAAAGAAUUUGGCGGUAUCCUAGCCUAGUUAGAGGAACCUGCACUAUAAACGAUAUUCCUCGAAUUAUCUUACUUUACUUUGUAAUUAGUUUGUAUACCUCCAUUAUAAAAUAAUAUUUAAAAUUAUUUAUUAAAAUAAAGCAUUUUAUGAUAUUAGGUCAAGGUGCAGCCUAUGGUGAAGAAGUUGUGGGUUACAAUAUGUUGUUUAUGUGCGGAUGAUAUCUUGAAUUGGUUAUUUGAAGGUGGAUUUAAUAGUAAGUUUGUUUUAAUAUGGCAUACUGAUAGUAGUUUUAGGAUAUGUACAUAUCGCCCGUCGCUCUCGUAUUAAGAUGAGAUAAGUCGUAACAAAAGUAGGGAA
Molecule: ribosomal RNA, 607 nt
Filed under: Periclimenes affinis
Lineage: Eukaryota; Metazoa; Arthropoda; Malacostraca; Decapoda; Palaemonidae
Description: partial 12S ribosomal RNA
Rfam family: Microsporidia small subunit ribosomal RNA (bases 221-607)
Source: RNAcentral